GAGUUUAGAGGAAGCGGAAGUGUUAGUGCAGGCGGAAGUGGUACUGCCCUGAAAAUCCCGAGCAGCGAACGGAGGACAGCUUGGUACUUCCAUCGUUUAGAGAAAAAGCAGGAUUCAAAAUACAAGCUAAAUCCUCAACAUGGACAAGAACGACCUGGUACAGAAGGCUAAGCUGGCCGAGCAGGCCGAACGCUAUGACGACAUGGCGGCGGCGAUGAAAGCGGUGACGGAGCAGGGCGGCGAGCUCUCCAACGAGGAGCGCAACCUGCUGUCGGUGGCCUACAAGAAUGUGGUGGGGGCGCGUCGCUCCUCCUGGCGCGUUAUCUCCAGCAUCGAGCAGAAGACCGAGGGCAACGAGAAGAAGCAGCUGAUGGCCCGUGAAUACCGCGAGAAGAUUGAGGCCGAGCUGCAGGACAUCUGCAAGGAUGUGCUGGCACUCCUCGACAAUUACCUCAUUGCCAAUGCGACUCAGGCAGAAAGCAAGGUGUUCUACCUUAAAAUGAAAGGUGACUACUACAGAUAUCUGUCCGAGGUGGCAUCUGGAGACUCAAAAAAGACCACAGUGGAGAACUCCCAGCAGGCCUACCAGGAGGCAUUUGACAUCAGCAAGAAGGACAUGCAGCCGACACACCCCAUCAGGCUGGGCCUCGCUCUCAACUUUUCCGUCUUCUAUUACGAGAUCCUCAACUCCCCCGAGCAGGCCUGCAGUUUGGCGAAGGCGGUGGGGCACCGUUAUACACUCACACACGUUACACCAUCACACUGCAGUGACUGCGUGAUACAGAAGGAGCCCUUUUUGGCCUCCGAAUCAAUACGGAGUGCAAACACGCCCCUCCUGCUCAGCUUUUUUACACAAACCUGCUCGUUAACACCGGUGCUUGUGCUGUUGGCAUUUGCCAAAUAUUUAAAUGAAAAAUAGACUGUUGACUGUUGUGAUGGUGCUUUGUCAUCUGGAGUACCAAGCUUUGUCAAUUAGUAAAGUGUUUUGGAGGCAUUUUAUGCUGUGGUAUUCUGGGCCUUAUAAAACAUGUUUUGUUUACCCCCUUCCAUAUACCUAUUUUCCCUAUAGGCUUUCGACGAAGCGAUCGCCGAACUUGACACCUUGAACGAGGACUCUUACAAAGACAGCACCUUGAUCAUGCAGCUACUAAGGGACAAUCUCACUCUGUGGACAUCAGAAAACCAGGGUGAUGAGGGGGAUGCCGGCGAAGGGGAGAACUAAAGGCGUUGCACAUCACUGUUAAUCCACCCACACUCUUUUUUUCUCUUAUUUUACACAUAUACAGCCCAUACAUCCCUGCUCCAUCCAGCCCCCUCCCUUUCUGUAUGACAAGCAGCAUGAAUUGUACCUGACCUACCAGUUGUGCCCUUUCUCAGAUAUGCUCAGUUGUUAACAAGCAGAGUAUUGUUUUGUGAGGAUAAAAGAAAAAUACAUUUACCCGGUUGAGUGGCAAGGCCAUUCACCCCCCCCCCCCCCCUUUGAUUCUCUCCUAACAUUUCAUAAAGAUAUGUUCUUUCACCUAGCAAGAUAUGCAUUUUAGUAUCCUUUUUUGCUUUGCUAGUGUACUGGCGAUUGCUGGUUUUUAUUCAAAAAGGUCAUUAAACUGUCUGUUUAUUUUCAACAAACACUGUGAUGCUUAGUUUUUCUCCACAUAAUCACAAGUUCUGGUCGCUAAAAUUCAGUACUGUAUGUAGCAGUGCAAUUCUGCUGUGGCCUCAUAGAGAAUGGUAGAAGAGGUUGUAUUGUGACACUGACUAACAUGCAUAUUGCUGUGUAUUGUAAAUUUUAUUUUGGAUCUGGAACUAAAAUGAAUACAAGGGACCCUAGGUUUUGCCAUUCAAUGUAUGUCCAGCUGAAAAGAAAAAAAACAUUCCAUUAGAACCUAACAUUAAAGGUAGACUCAGCAAAAUAACGUUGCAGCACUGCAGGUAUUGAGAUGAGCAAGACUUUGGUCUUACACGGUCACACAGUAUCUGUGCAUGCGCACAGGUUUUCUUCACAUUGUUAGUGUGGUAGGUACGAGACCAAAACAGAGUGAAAGUUGAGCUCCCACUUCAGCGCUCUUAGUUGCGGAAAUAGACCCACUAUGCUGUUUACUUUCUGCAUCGACGUCAUGUCGCUGAGUCUAUCUUCAAGAUGUUAUACAGUUUUUGAUCAAACGGGAGCAUUCUCCUAAUGGUAUGUACUAGAACAGUUGACAAGAAGGUGCUGUUUGACAUUAGUAUAAUGAUACUAUUUUGUUCUUGAAUGUUACUUUUUUGCUUUGCGUAAUAGUGACUUGCACAUUGGUUCAAAACUGUAAAUUGUAAACACUUUUAAAAUACAUUUGAAAUCUGUCUUAAAUUUUGUUAACCUGCUUGCAAAGAAACACCUUAAAGCUGUUUUACGUUGAACUUUUACAUAUUGGUUAUUAAAGCCUUUCUUGAAGGCCUUAUGCUGACAGUCCAAACUGACCAGUCAAAAGUUUAGAUUUCAUAAAGGAAGCAGUAAGAGAAUGCAUGCUCUUGCCCACGAAGAGUGUGUAAGCAAGUCCCCUUAUGUAAAUUGUGUCAGUCAGAGAUGGCAUUGAUGCUUUUGUUUUGUGUAUCUCCAGACUUAAGGGUCUAUCAGAGGAGAACAUAUUGUAGUGGAAUGCGGUCAGUGGAUGGGUUAGAUUCUGGAGUAGUGCAAGGAACUUGAAGAAGUAGCUGAAUUCACUCAGUGUCACAAUACUUUGUCAUCACCAUAACAUUCCACUUAGGUGUUGAAUUCAUCUGGUUCAGUCUUGCUGAAGACAAUGUUUCAUGCACUGAAAAAAAUCUCCCCGUUAGCUGAAUAAAUGGCAGUUAUUCUACGCUUAAUUUAAAAAAUGCAGUAGUGAAUGUGGAACCGAGCCUGUCUGUAUAUCUGGUAUCUCCAAUUGCUUUGUUUUUACUGACCAGUAUUCUGCCUAAAGUUUGCUUCUGUGAUGGUUUAUAUUGCUUAGCGCGCACGUGGUUGUGAAAAUUUAGAAUAGCAUUAAAACAAAAAUACACAAAAAAAACAACCCCUGGUUAUUGAUGUAAUACUAGAUUUGUAUGUCUUUUAAAACAGUUCUAGUUUCACCCUACAUGUUAUCAGGAAAAUGUAAAAGACAAUUUAAAGUGAAAUAAAAGUUUUAUCAGUU
Oncorhynchus kisutch (coho salmon) is the source of this 3146-nucleotide RNA transcript. It is a transcript of the gene named 14-3-3 protein beta/alpha-1-like, with no coding region annotated. The transcript is spliced from 5 exons. The record is from RefSeq and is a predicted model, not a curated record. NCBI's taxonomy places the organism in Eukaryota, Metazoa, Chordata, Actinopteri, Salmoniformes, Salmonidae.